CAGCCGCCGCGGUAAUACGGAGGGAGCUAGCGUUGUUCGGAAUUACUGGGCGUAAAGCGCACGUAGGCGGCUUUGUAGGUUAGAGGUGAAAGCCUGGAGCUCAACUCCAGAAUUGCCUUUAAGACUGCAUCGCUUGAAUCCAGGAGAGGUGAGUGGAAUUCCGAGUGUAGAGGUGAAAUUCGUAGAUAUUCGGAAGAACACCAGUGGCGAAGGCGGCUCACUGGACUGGUAUUGACGCUGAGGUGCGAAAGCGUGGGGAGCGAACAGGAUUAGAUACCCCUGUAGUCCCUGUCUCUUAUAC
This 301-nucleotide ribosomal RNA is filed under the name uncultured bacterium. RNAcentral's name for it is "partial 16S ribosomal RNA". It matches the Rfam family "Bacterial small subunit ribosomal RNA", at positions 509 to 807 of the family's 1533-position model. The record is from RNAcentral.